GGCGACCCCAGGUCAGGCGGGAUAACCCGCUGAA
RNAcentral lists this ribosomal RNA (34 nucleotides) under Calceolaria bicrenata. RNAcentral's name for it is "partial 28S ribosomal RNA". Lineage: Eukaryota; Viridiplantae; Streptophyta; Magnoliopsida; Lamiales; Calceolariaceae. The record is from RNAcentral. RNAcentral also lists the same sequence under 28 other names.